GGCACUGUGUAUUCGGUUGAAAUAGCCAAUCAUUUCAAAUCAAGUUGAGCGGGUCUGCAUCGUUAUUUUGACGAAGUUUGAAACCAGUGGUAAUUUUUUGACACUUCAUCUAGAUUUAAGAAGAUUCUUGCCUGAACAAUUGCUCGAACUCCCGGGUUGACAUGCUCUAAAGGUAUAGUGAAUUCAGUAUGCAGAUUAUUGAAGAGAAAACAUCAAGACGGGGCAAGGAAGACAACAAAACAUGAUUACCCAGAUUGAGGAUCCCAAUGUUCUUUGUCUCAAGCUACUCAGCCUACCAUGAGAAAAUUAAAAGAUCUGUCAUGAAGAAGAGGCUGGUUCUCAACUUUCAUAUUAU
Long non-coding RNA from Saccostrea cuccullata (small rock oyster), 355 nucleotides. RefSeq lists it as uncharacterized. The transcript is spliced from 3 exons. Lineage: Eukaryota; Metazoa; Mollusca; Bivalvia; Ostreida; Ostreidae. The record is from RefSeq and is a predicted model, not a curated record.